Molecule: transfer RNA, 77 nt
Filed under: Deltaproteobacteria bacterium
Lineage: Bacteria; Pseudomonadati; Myxococcota; Myxococcia
Description: tRNA-Met
Rfam family: tRNA
About the family: Transfer RNA (tRNA) molecules are approximately 80 nucleotides in length. Their secondary structure includes four short double-helical elements and three loops (D, anti-codon, and T loops). Further hydrogen bonds mediate the characteristic L-shaped molecular structure. tRNAs have two regions of fundamental functional importance: the anti-codon, which is responsible for specific mRNA codon recognition, and the 3' end, to which the tRNAs corresponding amino acid is attached (by aminoacyl-tRNA synthetases). tRNAs cope with the degeneracy of the genetic code in two manners: having more than one tRNA (with a specific anti-codon) for a particular amino acid; and 'wobble' base-pairing, i.e. permitting non-standard base-pairing at the 3rd anti-codon position.
Source: RNAcentral
GGGCCCAUAGCUCAAACGGUGAGAGCUCCCGGCUCAUAACCGGGCGGUUCCUGGUUCAAUCCCAGGUGGGCCCACCG